RNAcentral lists this long non-coding RNA (702 nucleotides) under Gallus gallus (chicken). Its description in RNAcentral is "lncRNA (ENSGALG00010012374.1)". Lineage: Eukaryota; Metazoa; Chordata; Aves; Galliformes; Phasianidae. The record is from RNAcentral.
GAACUUUUUGUCUGGUGCCCUAACCCUUACUGUCCUAACCAGCUAUGGCAUGUCUGAUUGCUUUCAGCUGUAGAAAAGAAAUAUAACGGCUGAUUUAUGUCAGCACAUAGAAUGCAGUGCUUGGUUUUUAGGAGACUGGGGAAUCUUGCAAGUGUACAAUGUGAAAAAUCUUCUCUCUGCCUUUCCCAGAGUACCAAGGAAGUAUCUCCAGGGAGCUGCAGGGAAAAUCAAGCUGAAGAUGUAGUAGACAUUGGGUUCAGAGCUCAGCAGGAUGUGACAUUUUAUUGUACUGCUUUUGAGCUGCUUUAUUCCCUGGAAACUCUUAUGCUGUCCUGGCCUUAAAGUCAAGUUUGCCACAUGAACAAAUGCAUAUCAAAUGAUGACAGAUCUACAAGUAAAGGAUUCACACAAGGCACAGAGUGGGCAAGAUGACCUCUGGGAGCAACCAGUACAACAUCACCAGGACCAAGGUGAGCCUUGCUUUAAGGAGAUGACUGGACUAGUGGACUUUUACAGGUCCUCGUCACAGUCUCCUACCAUAUCUUAAUGGAUGGAGGACAAGGGCACUACAAGGUUCCCACCUUCCCUUUUGCUUUGGAGUGGCUCCACCAAGUCAUUUUGCUGGCCAGAGUGGAAUGCUUCCUUUCUGGAACUGGACUUACAUUCCACCUCCCCUUCCUUGUCCUCAUCUCCAUCCCCCAU